Molecule: non-coding RNA, 72 nt
Organism: Podarcis lilfordi (Lilford's wall lizard)
Lineage: Eukaryota; Metazoa; Chordata; Lepidosauria; Squamata; Lacertidae
Source: the annotation of a GenBank genome assembly
GGCAGCGUGGUGUAGUGGCUAGAGUGUCAGACUAGAACCUGAAAGACCAGGGUUCAAAUCCCUGCUUCGCCA